Molecule: ribosomal RNA, 253 nt
Filed under: uncultured bacterium
Lineage: Bacteria
Description: partial 16S ribosomal RNA
Rfam family: Bacterial small subunit ribosomal RNA
Source: RNAcentral
UACGUAGGGUGCAGGCGUUAAUCGGAAUUACUGGGCGUAAAGCGUGCGCAGGCGGUUUGCUAAGACAGGUGUGAAAUCCCCGGGCUUAACCUGGGAACUGCGCUUGUUACUGGCAAGCUGGAGUGUGGCAGAGGGGGGUGGAAUUCCACGUGUAGCGGUGGAAUGCGUAGAGAUCCGGAAGAACACCGGUGGCGAAGGCGGUUGGCUGGGCAGGUGCUGACACUGAGGCGCGACAGCGUGGGGAGCAAACAGG